This 328-nucleotide ribosomal RNA is filed under the name uncultured eukaryote. RNAcentral's name for it is "partial 18S ribosomal RNA". It matches the Rfam family "Eukaryotic small subunit ribosomal RNA", at positions 1470 to 1796 of the family's 1831-position model. The record is from RNAcentral.
CCCUUAGAUGUUCUGGGCCGCACGCGCGCUACACUGAUGCAUUCAACGAGUCUAAAACCUGGUCUGAUAGGGCUGGGUAAUCUUUUGAAAGUGCAUCGUGAUUGGGAUAGAUGAUUGCAAUUCUUCAUCUUCAACGAGGAAUGCCUAGUAGGCGCAAGUCAUCAGCUUGCGUCGAUUACGUCCCUGCCCUUUGUACACACCGCCCGUCGCUCCUACCGAUUGGGUGUGCUGGUGAAAUGUUCGGAUCGGCCGUUUGUCGCGGUUUCCGCGUCAUGUGGCUGAGAAGUUCAUUAAACCCUCCCACCUAGAGGAAGGAGAAGUCGUAACA